Parus major (Great Tit) is the source of this 1432-nucleotide long non-coding RNA. RefSeq lists it as uncharacterized. Lineage: Eukaryota; Metazoa; Chordata; Aves; Passeriformes; Paridae. The record is from RefSeq and is a predicted model, not a curated record. The transcript has 2 exons.
CCUGGUGCAAUGGCAGCAGUUCAAACUCUGACUCUGUGAAAGCACUGAAGGAAAACAUUUUUUAACUUUGGAGGUCAUUGGAAGGCAGUAGAAGAGGGAUAUGGAAGCUGUUCAGUUGGACGUAUCCAGGACAAGAGUUACCUGCCCAGGUCCCCAGGAUAAGUCAGAACGCUGCUGGGCUACGCUGCCUCUGAGGACCAGGAGAUGAGGAGGCCUGUGACCAACACCUGAAUACCGCGGGUAGCAUGGUGGUGAGCGCUUGGGUUUUUAACAACGCCUGCUUAAGUGAUGGGCAAAACAAGAUAUGUGGUUCAGCAGCAGUCAGGAAGUGAGUGCCAAACUGGCUUAACAGGAGCAAGAAGUAAAGAGGCCACACAACACUUGAAGCUGCUCUGUACAGUGGAACACAUGCUGUUCUCUCCUUGUAGCUGGUACUACUAAUAGUACUUACGGUAUCAUAAGUAUUCUCCAGUUGUGGGUCUACACGUGCUUUUUAGAUGCUGGGUUGUCACAUCUAAAUAAAAAAAUUUUGCAUUCAUUGUAGGAUGUGGUGAUAUUGCCAUCUUUCCUCUAGCUCACACUUUUGUUUUCUCUCUCCUCUUUUUUUGAGUGCACAUGUAGAGAGCUUUCAGAGCCAGGUCAGGCUAAACUGCUAGACUUGCAGACUAGGCAGGAUCAGCUCUGCAAGGUUUCCAUGAAGAAAACACCAGAUUUUAGCUAUCCUUUCUAAAGAGCAUGCUGAGGUGUAGCUAAAGGCUGAUAAUAACAUUCAUUUCUUGACAACACAGACCAUCUUCUAGUUUAUCAUGAUCUGUUCUUUGGCAUGCUGCACAAGCCUUUUGUUUCUAUUUAGUUGGAAACUUCUGUCAUUGCUCUUCUGAAGAAACAAGUGCCUCUGAAAAAUAAUUGCUUUGACCUGGGAAUGACCCAUUUCCUGAGGGUAAAUGACAAAGAAGAGAUGGAAUAGCACUGGGUGAAGAUCAAACUGAAAUUUUUACAUCUUCCAUCCUGGGCCUGAAAUGAAUGCCUGGUAUUUUGACUGUCAGUGCUUGGUUCUCAUCAACGAAGUGGCACGAGUUCAGGUAUGUCCUGUUGCUGACAAUUAAUCACUCUUCUGACCCAUUACAAAUAGAUUUAACUUUGUAAUCAGUGUGAUCUUCCAUCCUACUUUCUUGACUGUGAUGUUGUUGUUUGCCUGUGAAAAUAGCAUGUCUCUUGCCGUGAUCUCUGGUAGGACUCAUUGCUACACUCUGCAGGGUAGUUACUAACAGGGCAGACACUGUAUUUCCUGAAUUUUCCUUUAAGACUGCUUAAAGAUUUAGCUACUUGUGUAAUCUGUAUUCAGUGAUACAACACAGAACUUCCUUAUCCUGUUUGCCAGAUACAGUGUAUAAAGCUUGUAAAUAAAGAUGCAUUUAAUUUGCAUAAAUUA